AUUCACUGCUCACUCUGUGUAAUUUACGAGACAACCUACUUCGUUGCGACUCCUUGUUUUUUGAUUACUACUUAGGUAACGUCGCUCACAUUCAGCUCCCGUUUUAAACACAUGUAGGGUUUAUCAUUUGAUCACGGGCAUCCACCAGAGACUCACAGUGCGUUUCCUAUCGCUGCACAUAAGUAGGCCAACGCAGGGCUGUGCAAGCUGUUUCCCCCGUGGGAAGAGAUGAGGAGAGGAGAGGUAGUGUGUCAUAUAAAGUCUCCAUUUCUGCUUUUUCCUCCAACUUCACUCUGAGCACCAGAACGGAGGAAGAGACUUGUAGGCCUGGAGGAAAAAUAGCAGUUCAAGCUGUACUUUGUGACGCUCGAUGCACGUCAGGUGGUUGGUGACGUGGACGGGGUUGAGAAGUCCAGCCUGUGUCAGACCUGCACAGUCGAUCACAGAGUGGACAAAGGAGGGGGGAGCACUUUACUGCAGCCACGGAAACGAAGACAAAUAUUUAGCCGUGAGUGUAAACAUCAUGCUAUUACACACUGAUGAUCACAUGUGCACGGUUACCUGGGUCAACCCACCUCUUCUAUGUCUUUAUUGUAUCCCUCAGGGUCCAAUCGUGUGGAGCCAGCAGGGGAAAGUGGGUGUGGCUCUGGGUUUGACCUCACCAGGUGAUUUCUGAAGAAAGAUUUAAAAUUCGCUCAUUCACCUGGUAAACAUUUUAUUUUCCGAUAUGGUAACACUUUAAUUGAAGUUUUAUACAUAAGGCUAACAUUACACUGUCAUUAGCAUGAAUAAGGUGAAAUGAAGGCUGUCAUUUAGUGUUGUUCGCUAAAUUAUGACAACUUUGGAGCUAUGUUGGCAUUGCCUGGGUUAAGUGGAGAUCUAGUGGAGUUAGGUAGGGGUUAAGGUUAGGGUAACAAAGGGUUAGUGUAAAGAAUGACACUUAUUAACAGCCUUUAUGACACCUUAUUCAUGCUAAUGACAGGUGUCAUGAAGGCUGUCAUUAAGUGUUUUUUGCUGAAUUGUGAUUGCUCUGUUGGCAUUUUCUGGGUUAGGUGGAGG
This 1059-nucleotide long non-coding RNA is filed under the name Gouania willdenowi (blunt-snouted clingfish). Its description in RNAcentral is "lncRNA (ENSGWIG00000016673.1)". Lineage: Eukaryota; Metazoa; Chordata; Actinopteri; Blenniiformes; Gobiesocidae. The record is from RNAcentral.